GUUGCAAAGAACUUUGAAGAGAGAGUUCAAGAGAACGUGAAAUCGCUGAAGUGGAACCGGAGAGAGUUAACAUAACUUGGUAGCUAUAUUCUCUAUAGUCGCUUAGCUGUGGCUUUGGGGGGUGGACGCUACCUGUUGUUGCGCUGACUGCGUUGAUCAUGCUUUCCUAACAAUGUAGUGUUGCCCACAUUGUGGUGUCUUGCUUAUUGGGAGGUUUGUCAUGGUUAACGUCAAGCCUUAGUUUCUAGGGAGUCAGUGUGAAAGUUAACCACCUUUCCGACCCGUCUUGAAACACGGACCGAGGAGUGUAAUUUACACGCGAGUCAAAGGGCUGAGGAAACCUUAUGGCAUAAUGAAAGUAAAGACCGGUUAACCGGUUGACAUGGGAUCCGACUGAACUUCUUCGAAACGGAGCACCAUGGCCCUGUCUUGUCUGCUUGCAGAUGGGCAGCGGUAGAGCGUGUAGGUUGCGACCCGAAAGAUGGUGAACUAUGCUUGAGCAGGACGAAGCCAGAGGAAACUCUGGUGGAAGUCCGUAUCGGUUCUGACGUGCAAAUCGAUCGAUAGA
Molecule: ribosomal RNA, 568 nt
Filed under: Heterorhabditis indica
Lineage: Eukaryota; Metazoa; Nematoda; Chromadorea; Rhabditida; Heterorhabditidae
Description: eukaryotic LSU rRNA
Rfam family: Eukaryotic large subunit ribosomal RNA
Source: RNAcentral